This 556-nucleotide ribosomal RNA is filed under the name uncultured bacterium. RNAcentral describes it as "partial 16S ribosomal RNA". It matches the Rfam family "Bacterial small subunit ribosomal RNA", at positions 355 to 920 of the family's 1533-position model. The record is from RNAcentral.
UGGGGAAUAUUGGACAAUGGGCGGAAGCCUGAUCCAGCAACGCCGCGUGAGGGAUGACGGCCUUCGGGUUGUAAACCUCUUUCAGUACCGACGAAGCGAAAGUGACGGUAGGUACAGAAGAAGGACCGGCCAACUACGUGCCAGCAGCCGCGGUAAUACGUAGGGUCCGAGCGUUGUCCGGAAUUAUUGGGCGUAAAGGGCUCGUAGGCGGUUUGUCGCGUCGGGAGUGAAAACAGCGGGCUUAACUCGUUGCUUGCUUUCGAUACGGGGCAGACUAGAGGUAUGCAGGGGAGAAUGGAAUUCCUGGUGUAGCGGUGAAAUGCGCAGAUAUCAGGAGGAACACCGGUGGCGAAGGCGGUUCUCUGGGCAUUACCUGACGCUGAGGAGCGAAAGUGUGGGGAGCGAACAGGAUUAGAUACCCUGGUAGUCCACACCGUAAACGUUGGGCGCUAGGUGUGGGGUCCUUUCCACGGAUUCCGUGCCGUAGCUAACGCAUUAAGCGCCCCGCCUGGGGAGUACGGCCGCAAGGCUAAAACUUAAAUGAAUUGACGGGGUC